AUGAUUGAACUUCCUCUGAAAGAAAAAUCUCUUCUCCCUCAAUCUCUCAUCCGCCGCUCACUUCUUCACUUUGAAACUACCUCACCGCCACAGCUUUUUCCUCACAUCUCCGAUGACACCUCAUCAUUUACCUCAUUCCAUUGUAAACACAACAUCGCCACCACCUCCCUCAUGGUUUCGACUCCAUCUCGCUUUCGUUCUUCAUAUCAAAUUCGGAGUCGCCUUCUUCAAAGUUAUGUCUCAUUUAAGUUUCGUCUCCUUCGUAUAUCACGCCUUAGUCUCACUUUGAUUCCGUGA
Vicia faba (fava bean) is the source of this 297-nucleotide non-coding RNA. The record is from the annotation of a GenBank genome assembly. Lineage: Eukaryota; Viridiplantae; Streptophyta; Magnoliopsida; Fabales; Fabaceae.